This 478-nucleotide ribosomal RNA is filed under the name uncultured bacterium. RNAcentral describes it as "partial 16S ribosomal RNA". It matches the Rfam family "Bacterial small subunit ribosomal RNA", at positions 28 to 507 of the family's 1533-position model. The record is from RNAcentral.
GAUGAACGCUGGCGGCGUGCUUAACACAUGCAAGUCGAACGAGAAGUGAAGACGGAAACCUUCGGGCGGAAGGCUUUAUUUCGAGUGGCGGACUGGUGAGUAACGCGAGGGUAACCUGCCUCAUACAGGGGGAUAACAGUUGGAGACGACUGUUAAUACCGCAUAAGACCACAGACCCGCAUGGUGCGGGGGUAAAAACUCCGGUGGUAUGAGAUGCACCCGCGUUCCAUUAGCCAGUUGGCGGGGUAACGGCCCACCAAAGCGACGAUCGAUAGCCGAUCUGAGAGGAGGACCGGCCACAUUGGGACUGGGGCACGGCACAGACUCCUACGGAAGGCAGCAGUGGGGAAUAUUGCACAAUGGGCGAAACCCUGAUGCACCGACGCCGCGUGAGUGAAGAAGUAUUUCGGUAAGUAAAGCUCUAUCAGCAGGGAAGAUAAUGACGGUACCUGAGUAAGAAGCCCCGGCUAACUACGUG